GUCCCCGUAGCUCAACCGGAUAGAGCACAGGUUUCCUAAACCUGGGGUUGUGAGUUCGAUUCUCGCCGGGGACGCCA
This 77-nucleotide transfer RNA is filed under the name Alphaproteobacteria bacterium. RNAcentral describes it as "tRNA-Arg". It matches the Rfam family "tRNA". From Rfam's summary of the family: Transfer RNA (tRNA) molecules are approximately 80 nucleotides in length. Their secondary structure includes four short double-helical elements and three loops (D, anti-codon, and T loops). The record is from RNAcentral. Lineage: Bacteria; Pseudomonadati; Pseudomonadota; Alphaproteobacteria.